Molecule: ribosomal RNA, 473 nt
Filed under: uncultured bacterium
Lineage: Bacteria
Description: partial 16S ribosomal RNA
Rfam family: Bacterial small subunit ribosomal RNA
Source: RNAcentral
GAUGAACGCUAGCGGCAGGCCUAAUACAUGCAAGUCGAACGGGUGGUCGCAAGACCACUAGUGGCGCACGGGUGCGUAACGCGUAACCAACCUGCCCCGAUCUGGGGGAUAGCCCGCCGAAAGGCGGAUUAAUACCGCAUAUACCCGCAGCCUGGCAUCAGGCAACGGGGAAAGAUUUAUUGGAUCGGGUUGGGGUUGCGUGACAUUAGCUAGUUGGCGGGGUAAGGGCCCACCAAGGCGACGAUGUCUAGGGGACCUGAGAGGGUGAUCCCCCACACUGGCACUGAGAUACGGGCCAGACUCCUACGGGAGGCAGCAGUAGGGAAUAUUGGGCCAUGGGCGAGAGCCUGACACAGCCAUGCAGCGUGCCGGAUGAAGGCCUUCUGGGUUGUAGACGGCUUUUCUCAGGGAAGAAAAAGACCUUGCGAGGUACACUGACGGUACCUGAGGAAUAAGCACCGGCUAACUCCGUG